This 717-nucleotide long non-coding RNA is filed under the name Canis lupus familiaris (dog). RNAcentral's name for it is "lncRNA (ENSCAFG00000052722.1)". Lineage: Eukaryota; Metazoa; Chordata; Mammalia; Carnivora; Canidae. The record is from RNAcentral.
GCCUGGAGUGGGCGGGGCCUGGGGGCCGGGCCGGGGCGCCCGAUGGGGGCGUGCACUCUCCGCGGGGACACGCGCUCUGGGCCGCGGCAACUCGCUCCAAGUUCCCUCCCUCGCGCUCCGCGAAGCCCGCCCGAGCCCGCCCGAGCCCUCCCCUCCCCUCCUCUCCCCUCGGCGCGGACCUAGCCCUCCGCGGCCUCGCGCCCCGCGCCCCCGGCCCGCCGGCUCGGCUCCCCCCGGCCCCGCGGGGCGGCGCGAGGACUCGGCGGCGGCCCCCUCCCCGCGGGCCCGGGAGCCGACGCCGGCUGGGGCCGCACCUCCGGGACCGGGCAGCGCGGCCGAGAAAUCGCCGGCUGGACAUCCAGAGCACCUAGCCUGUUUUUUUCUGCAUCUUGAAUUGAGCAUUAACAGGACUCUUGAAGCUCUGCCUGCAGCCGAACACAAAGACCUGGAGGAGACUCCCACAUCCUUCGGGGAGAAGAAAGGAGGCAGCGGCGCCGGUUCAGGGAGCUCGUGGCUCGUGGCCUUCGGGAGGGGGGGAGUGGAUCGCGGCGUUGGCGGCGGCGUUGGCGGCGGCGGGCGAGCCGUGAGAUGCGGCGGCGCCGCGGCGGCGCCUGCUGACACCCCGGUCCCCGGCGCCGGCCGCUGCCCUUUGUGCUUCGCGUACAUGUGUCAGCUCGGCGCAUCCGGAGGCGCGCGCACCGGAAUCCAACACGGCCG